This 220-nucleotide long non-coding RNA is filed under the name Trifolium pratense (red clover). RNAcentral describes it as "long non-coding RNA (TPRA_LNC011627)". The record is from RNAcentral. Lineage: Eukaryota; Viridiplantae; Streptophyta; Magnoliopsida; Fabales; Fabaceae.
AGAAAUUAGUUAUUUUAGCUUAGUAUAGUUUGUUAGUCUCUUUUAGCAAUUAUAUCUUCAAUUUAUGAACAACUAAAAAGUUGUUCAUAACAGUGGACUCUUCUUUAUGGCGCGAUUUAUGCUCAAUCGGCAAGGAAUAUGAUUAUGAACCAAAAUUGGCUUGCCUAAUGUAAUUCAAAGGGAGCCCGCUAACAGAUAAAGUAUUUUGUUCUGGAUGGAN